GCAUCUGUGGCUCAGUGGGUAGGGCGCUGGCCCCAUAUGCCAAAGGUGGCAGGUUCAAACCCGGCCCUGGCA
Molecule: transfer RNA, 72 nt
Filed under: Otolemur garnettii (small-eared galago)
Lineage: Eukaryota; Metazoa; Chordata; Mammalia; Primates; Galagidae
Rfam family: tRNA
About the family: Transfer RNA (tRNA) molecules are approximately 80 nucleotides in length. Their secondary structure includes four short double-helical elements and three loops (D, anti-codon, and T loops).
Source: Rfam by way of RNAcentral